This 260-nucleotide ribosomal RNA is filed under the name uncultured archaeon. RNAcentral's name for it is "partial 16S ribosomal RNA". It matches the Rfam family "Archaeal small subunit ribosomal RNA", at positions 748 to 1008 of the family's 1478-position model. The record is from RNAcentral.
AGGGUGUAAACGCUGCAGACUUGGUGUUGGAAGCCCUUUGGGGGCAUUCAGUGCCGGAGAGAAGUUGUUAAGUCUGCUACUUGGGGAGUACGUCCGCAAGGAUGAAACUUAAAGGAAUUGGCGGGGAAGCACCGCAACGGGAGGAGCGUGCGGUUUAAUUGGAUUCAACACCGUAAACUCACCAGGGAAGACUGUUACAUGAAGGCCGAGAUGAAGACUCUGCUAGAUUUUCAGAGAGGAGGUGCAUGGCGUCAGUGACU